GAUGAACGCUGGCGGCGUGCCUAAUACAUGCAAGUCGAGCGAACAGACGAGGAGCUUGCUCCUCUUACGUUAGCGGCGGACGGGUGAGUAACACGUGGAUAACCUACCUAUAAGACUGGGAUAACUUCGGGAAACCGGAGCUAAUACCGGAUAAUAUAUUUAACCGCAUGGUUCAAUAGUGAACGACGGUUUUGCUGUCACUUAUAGAUGGAUCCGCGCCGCAUUAGCUAGUUGGUAAGGUAACGGCUUACCAAGGCAACGAUGCGUAGCCGACCUGAGAGGGUGAUCGGCCACACUGGAACUGAGACACGGUCCAGACUCCUACGGGAGGCAGCAGUAGGGAAUCUUCCGCAAUGGGCGAAAGCCUGACGGAGCAACGCCGCGUGAGUGAUGAAGGUCUUCGGAUCGUAAAACUCUGUUAUUAGGGAAGAACAAAUGUGUAAGUAACUAUGCACGUCUUGACGGUACCUAAUCAGAAAGCCACGGCUAACUACGUG
Molecule: ribosomal RNA, 497 nt
Filed under: uncultured bacterium
Lineage: Bacteria
Description: partial 16S ribosomal RNA
Rfam family: Bacterial small subunit ribosomal RNA
Source: RNAcentral